Long non-coding RNA from Vombatus ursinus (common wombat), 323 nucleotides. RefSeq lists it as uncharacterized. The transcript has 3 exons. The record is from RefSeq and is a predicted model, not a curated record. NCBI's taxonomy places the organism in Eukaryota, Metazoa, Chordata, Mammalia, Diprotodontia, Vombatidae.
GAAGAAAUGACAAUGACAUUUAAGAAGAUGGAGUUGGAAAGAAUGUCUGAACUUGAACAAACAUAUAGAUAAGAACUCAGUGCCAGAGGGCUCUAAAGUUAAGAAUGCAUCUUCCUUGUAACAACCCUGUGAGAUGAUAAAACUAACAUGGAUGAAUUUCCCAUGGUCACAUUGUAAGUCAGAAAACAUAGGAUCAUAGUUUCAGAGCUGGAAGGGGCCAUAGAUGUCAUUUCGUUCAGCCCUCUCAUUUUAUAGAUAACUGAGGACCAAAGCGGUUAAAUGACUAGUGCAAGGUUAAAUGUGGUAAAUGGCACAGACAGGAG